GAUGAACGCUGGCGGCGUGCCUAAUACAUGCAAGUCGAGCGAACGGACGAGAAUCUUGCUUCUCUGAUGUUAGCGGCGGACGGGUGAGUAACACGUGGAUAACCUACCUAUAAGACUGGGAUAACUUCGGGAAACCGGAGCUAAUACCGGAUAAUAUUUUGAACCGCAUGGUUCCAAAGUGAAAGACGGUCUUGCUGUCACUUAUAGAUGGAUCCGCGCUGCAUUAGCUAGUUGGUAAGGUAACGGCUUACCAAGGCAACGAUGCAUAGCCGACCUGAGAGAGGGAUCGGCCACACUAGAACUGAGACACGGUCCAGACUACUACGGGAGGCAGCAGUAGGGAAUCUUCCGCAAUGGGCGAAAGCCUGACGGAGCAACGCCGAGUGAGUGAUGAAGGUCUUCGGAGCGUAAAACUCUGUUAUUAGGGAAGAACAUAUGCGUAAGUAACUGUGCACAGCUUGACGGUACCUAAUCAGAAAGCCACGGCUAACUACGUG
This 497-nucleotide ribosomal RNA is filed under the name uncultured bacterium. RNAcentral describes it as "partial 16S ribosomal RNA". It matches the Rfam family "Bacterial small subunit ribosomal RNA", at positions 28 to 507 of the family's 1533-position model. The record is from RNAcentral.